ACCGUUGGAGCCUGUCGCGCAAAAAAUAUGAAUAUUAAGAAAAUGAAAACACUGGCCUGGCCCCUCAGACGGCAAGCUGUCUCAUUUCCUACCGUUUAAUGAUUUUUACAAUUACAAUGUUCCCGUUUAGUGAGGCAAUUCCUAGACGGUCGAUGAUGAGACUGCAUAUAAAGGCGAAUAAUAUAAACAUAUUUUACGUACAGUCUGUUAGGUCAGCCAACAUCACACACCCGUCUAGAGAGGAAACAUUGCAUAAUUCAAUUCAUUGCUUACAUAUUUCUAAGUGUGCACAAGUCGCAUGCCUGAGUGUACUGAAUAAUAUGACCUUGAACUUCAGUCUCAUGGCGGUGCUCCCCCCGGCGUCCUCGACGUUAACUCUGGCAUGUACGAUUUCAACACCAACGUCAUGGUGGUGUUCUUUGCUGAACAGAUUAAAAUUUGCAUAGAUGCUUUGCUUUUGUCCAUAUUUUUCUCCUUUCCUACACGAAAUUAGUUCCCCAGCUCAGAGCGAUGUUAAAGGCAUUGUCAAAUGCUUUCGUUGAUGAUCUUAUCGAAAAUGAUGAAAUAUUAGCUAAAAACAUAUCGAACUCAGGACUAGUGCAAAAAAUCAUACCCCAUAUGAGACCAAAAUGGCCAAAAUCGAUACCCUAUUUCUGACCAAAACGGCCGCACGUCCUAUAUAGCCCAUAUAAGGGAGUAGCCCCCUUCACCCGGGAGGGGAUUGGGCGAUAUUAACGGUAUCUAUAGGAACGAAGUAAGAUCAUUAAAAGUGCAACGGCAUUUUUGCGUCUACAUGCAUCAAGUCACGAUUUUUUACCUGUCAGUCAAUAAAACCCUUAUAAAAACCGUUGCAAACCUUGCCACUCAAACACAAAAUGUAUUUCUCAGUCACAAGAGGGGCUUGUAGGUACGUUUGGGAACUAUUAAUUCAGUGGUAUAAUCUUACAUUGUGGAUCAAAGUUGUCUUACCCGUUAGGAAAAGGAAAAAGCUUUGAUACAACAGCAACUGCAAUUGCUAAAACAACUGCCACUGACUAAACAUCUACAACACACACUGGCUGUACAACAUCAGGGCCUAAAUAAAGACAUUUCAGUGAUGCGAGCUGUGGAGAGACAAUUUACCAAUACUUUGUAAAUGUAGAAAAGCCAUCAGUGCGCAGUUUGUGAAAGCCCACUAACCAUGGUAACCGAGAAUAGAGUAACUGACUUGCCUAUGGUAUAAUAGCCUAGAACAACAAUGAGUUUAUUGGCAGCCAAUAGCGGUUAAGAGACUACCAUAGAUACUGAUGUUUUGUAAACUACUCUCCUGUUACGCCCCGGGUUGUGGGACACAAGAUACAGUAGUAGCAGACACCGCGUGUAAGAAGCUAGUGGUUUGAGAACCUACCGGCAGAAAUUUGCCAUUUUAAAACCAAAAAAUAGAAGAACCCGUUCAGCCAAGCUAGAUCAAGCAGGUUCUUAUAUACGGGUUACAGUUCAAUCAUGAUAAACCUUUUAACCAAGGAGUGUGACUUUGAGAUUGCAAAUUUAUAUUACAAGAAAAUACAAAAUACAGUAGAGAAUAAAUACUAUAUAUUUAAGGAUUAGGCCCAAGUUUAUUCACUUUGUUUGUUUGUUUGUUUGUUUUUUUGUAGUCAACAACUAUACCUCCUUCAUAGAAAUUAAGGACAUUGUUAAGAAUAUACUUACAGAACCUAUUUGGCCAGACUUAGAACAAUAAGGGCUCUUACUCACGGGUUUUUGCUGUGCCACUAUCCAUUCUUGGGUUACGUUCUGGUGACGUUUUGGUUGUGCUCUUUGAUUAAACUCUUCUGUUGUAUCAAGUUUUGUCUGUCCUCUCGGUCUCCGAAGACUGUUUAGUGUGCUGUAACAGAUCUAGCUAGAUCUCUGCCUUCCCACAGCUAGCAAGUUGUCCCGUUCAGAAACGUGUUUUCUCGGGCCAAAAACCCAUUAUUUCAGAACUCCCUGGACAAUUAACAUUAUUGGUAAAAUUUGAAAACGACAAGAAGCGAAGAAAAAGAAAAAAUGAGAAUAAAAAUGCCUGAAAUUGCGAAAUAAUAAAAGUGCAAGUAAUUAUGAACGUUUGUUAAAAAGAAUGUUAAAUCUUAUAACAUGUUUUAUUCUGGCUUAAGCCCUUCAAUAUUUUUAAUAUUUUCAAUAUUUUCAGCUUUCUUUCAUGUUGAGACCACCAGGUAGUAAAAGAUUAUUCUCUGCCUGCCUAAGGCCCGGAAUCAGCCAGUUUUUGUCACUAUUACUCCGGCAUAAGUCUUGAUCAUUUUGCCUUACUAUUAUGCUCAAACUAACGCCGGCAUAAUUUGUAAAACCCUAGAUACAACUUAAGCGACAGUGGCAGAGUUGGUGUUUGCGGUUUUAGCUACAGAUCUAGAAGACAGAUGAUAAUAACUUCAACAACAAUUUUUUUUUUCUAAAUGCUUACAUUUUGGAGGGUAUCCUCACUGAUCUAAGAGAUCUGUGCACUCUGUGAUCAGUGGACUACGCCCUAAGAGGAACCGAUAUGUAUUAACUUACCUGAACCAUCAAAUUAUGGCCUGAACUCUUUUAGUUCUUUAGAUGUUAUGUCCUUGAGAUCCGUCGCCGAAAGAGCUGUCCUUCAUGAAACAAUUUCACCAAAGCAGACGCUGACUAUGUAAUUUUAACUAAGCCGUAUUUUU
RNAcentral lists this unclassified non-coding RNA (2672 nucleotides) under Orbicella faveolata. Its description in RNAcentral is "protein phosphatase 1 regulatory subunit 3C-like, transcript variant X1". Lineage: Eukaryota; Metazoa; Cnidaria; Anthozoa; Scleractinia; Merulinidae. The record is from RNAcentral.